This 506-nucleotide ribosomal RNA is filed under the name uncultured bacterium. RNAcentral describes it as "partial 16S ribosomal RNA". It matches the Rfam family "Bacterial small subunit ribosomal RNA", at positions 28 to 523 of the family's 1533-position model. The record is from RNAcentral.
GAUGAACGCUAGCUACAGGCUUAACACUUGCAAGUCGAGGGGUAACGAGAGGGAAGCUUGCUUUCCUUGUCGACGACCGGCGCACGGGUGAGUAACGCGUAUCCAACCUGCCCCCAACUAAGGAAUAACCUUGCGAAAGUAAGACUAAUACCUUAUAAUUUCCUCAGAUGACAUCUGACGAGGAAUAAAGAUUUAUCGGUUGUGGAUGGGGAUGCGUCUGAUUAGCUUGUUGGCGGGGUAACGGCCCACCAAGGCAACGAUCAGUAGGGGUUCUGGGAGGAAGGUCCCCCCCAUUGGAACUGAGACACGGUCCAAACUCCUACUGGAGGCAGCAGUGAGGAAUAUUGGUCAAUGGGCGGAAGCCUGAACCAGCCAAGUAGCGUGCAGGAUGACGGCCCUAUGGGUUGUAAACUGCUUUUAUACAGGAAUAAAGUUGGCCACGUGUGGUUAUCUGUAGGUACUGUAUGAAUAAGGACCGGCUAAUUCCGUGCCAGCCGCCGCGGUAA